Molecule: ribosomal RNA, 382 nt
Filed under: uncultured eukaryote
Lineage: Eukaryota
Description: partial 18S ribosomal RNA
Rfam family: Eukaryotic small subunit ribosomal RNA
Source: RNAcentral
UGUAAGCGUAUACCAAAGUUGUUGCAGUUAAACCGCUCGUAGUCGGAAUUUGGCAGUUCCGGAUGUGUGCACGUCGUGUGCGCACUUCGCGGGGAUUGCUUUUGUGGUCUUGCGUAGGAUGAGGCACUUUUAUUAGUGAACGUCCUCACGCAACCACUUUUUACUGUGAGAAAAUCAGAGUGCUCAAAGCAGGCAUUUGCCGUGAAUGUAUUAGCAUGGAAUAAUAGAAUAGGACUUGGUUCUAUUUUGUUGGUUUGUUGGGACUGAGUAAUGAUUAAGAGGGACAGUUGGGGGCAUUUGUAUUUCGGUGCUAGAGGUGAAAUUCUUAGAUUACCGAAAGACAAACUGCUGCGAAAGCGUCUGCCAAGGAUGUUUUCAUUGA